CAGUCGCCACGGGAAUACGUAGGGUGCGAGCGUUAAUCGGAAUUACUGGGCGUAAAGCGUGCGCAGGCGGUUGUGUAAGACAGGUGUGAAAUCCCCGGGCUUAACCUGGGAACUGCGCUUGUGACUGCACAGCUAGAGUAUGGCAGAGGGGGGUGGAAUUCCACGUGUAGCAGUGAAAUGCGUAGAGAUGUGGAGGAACACCGAUGGCGAAGGCAGCCCCCUGGGCCAAUACUGACGCUCAUGCACGAAAGCGUGGGGAGCAAACAGGAUUAGAUACCCGCGUAGUCCCUGUCUCUUAUAA
Molecule: ribosomal RNA, 301 nt
Filed under: uncultured bacterium
Lineage: Bacteria
Description: partial 16S ribosomal RNA
Rfam family: Bacterial small subunit ribosomal RNA
Source: RNAcentral